GACAGAGGUGCCGAGCGUUAGGCGGAAUCACUGGGCUUAAAGCGUGUGUAGGCGGAUUUGUAAGUACCUUGUGAAAUCCCACGGCUCAACCGUGGAACUGCUUGGUAUACUGCUUAUCUUGAGCCACUUAGGGGCAGUCGGAACAGACGGUGGAGCGGUGAAAUGCGUAGAUAUCGGGAGGAACACCUGUGGCGAAAGCGGCUCACUGGACCACAACUGACGCUGAGGCGCGAAAGCUAGGGGAGCAAACAGG
RNAcentral lists this ribosomal RNA (253 nucleotides) under uncultured bacterium. RNAcentral's name for it is "partial 16S ribosomal RNA". It matches the Rfam family "Bacterial small subunit ribosomal RNA", at positions 524 to 776 of the family's 1533-position model. The record is from RNAcentral.